Molecule: ribosomal RNA, 207 nt
Filed under: uncultured bacterium
Lineage: Bacteria
Description: partial 16S ribosomal RNA
Rfam family: Bacterial small subunit ribosomal RNA
Source: RNAcentral
AGUGUAGGUGGUUUGGCAAGUUGGUAGCGUAAUUCCGGGGCUCAACUUCGGAACUACUACCAAAACUGCCGGGCUUGAGUGCAGGAGGGGCAUAUGGAAUUCCUAGUGUAGCGGUGGAAUGCGUAGAUAUUAGGAGGAACACCAGUGGCGAAGGCGAUAUGCUGGACUGUAACUGACACUGAGGCACGAAAGCGUGGGGAGCAAACA